UAAGGAAUAUUGCUCAAUGGGAGAAAUCCUGAAGCAGCAACGCCGCGUGGAGGAUGAAGGGUCUAUGACUUGUAAACUCCUGUAAAGAAGGAAAAAAUUCCCAUUUGAUGGGAGAUGAUGGUACUUCUGGAGUAAGCCCCGGCUAACUACGUGCCAGCAGCCGCGGUAAUACGUAGGGGGCAAGCGUUGUCCGGAUUUACUGGGUGUAAAGGGUGCUCAGGCGGAUUUGUAAGUCAGAGGUGAAAUCUUACAGCUUAACUGUGAAACUUCCUUUGAUACUGCAAGCCUAGAGUAUGGAAGAGAGUGAUGGAAUAUCUGGUGGAGCAGUGAAAUGCGUAGAUAUCAGAUAGAACACCAAUGGCGAAGGCAGUCACUUGGUCCAUUACUGACGCUAAAGCACGAAAGCGUGGGUAGCAAACA
Molecule: ribosomal RNA, 420 nt
Filed under: uncultured bacterium
Lineage: Bacteria
Description: bacterial SSU rRNA
Rfam family: Bacterial small subunit ribosomal RNA
Source: RNAcentral